This 569-nucleotide ribosomal RNA is filed under the name Moesziomyces antarcticus. RNAcentral's name for it is "partial large subunit ribosomal RNA". It matches the Rfam family "Eukaryotic large subunit ribosomal RNA", at positions 98 to 648 of the family's 3401-position model. The record is from RNAcentral. Lineage: Eukaryota; Fungi; Basidiomycota; Ustilaginomycetes; Ustilaginales; Ustilaginaceae.
GAGGGAAGAGCCCAAGAUUGAAAGCUGGCGUCUUCGGCGUCCGCAUUGUAAUCUCAAGAAGUGUUUUCCGCUUCGGACCAAGCCUAAGUCCCCUGGAAAGGGGCAUCAUAGAGGGUGAUAAUCCCGUACAUGGCUUGGAGCGCCCGAGGCUUUGUGAUACGCUUUCUAAGAGUCGAGUUGUUUGGGAAUGCAGCUCAAAAUGGGUGGUAAAUGCCAUCUAAGGCUAAAUAUUGGGGAGAGACCGAUAGCGAACAAGUACAGUGAUGGAAAGAUGAAAAGAACUUUGAAAAGAGAGUUAAACAGUACGUGAAAUUGCCAAAAGGGAAGGGUAGGAGGUCAGAGAUGCGGCCUGGGAUUCAGCCUUGCUUUUGCUUGGUGUUUUUCCCAGAUUGCAGGCCAACGUCGGUUUUGGGCACUGGAGAAGGGUAGGAGGAACGUGGCACCCCUCGGGGUGUGUUAUAGCCUCCUACUGGAUACAGCGACCGAGACCGAGGACAGCAGCGUACUCGCAAGAGCGGGCCUUCGGGCACCUUUACGCUUAGGGCGUUGGCAUAAUGGCCCUCUACCAC